Molecule: transfer RNA, 72 nt
Filed under: Camelus bactrianus (Bactrian camel)
Lineage: Eukaryota; Metazoa; Chordata; Mammalia; Artiodactyla; Camelidae
Also listed under: 2 other names
Rfam family: tRNA
About the family: Transfer RNA (tRNA) molecules are approximately 80 nucleotides in length. Their secondary structure includes four short double-helical elements and three loops (D, anti-codon, and T loops). Further hydrogen bonds mediate the characteristic L-shaped molecular structure. tRNAs have two regions of fundamental functional importance: the anti-codon, which is responsible for specific mRNA codon recognition, and the 3' end, to which the tRNAs corresponding amino acid is attached (by aminoacyl-tRNA synthetases). tRNAs cope with the degeneracy of the genetic code in two manners: having more than one tRNA (with a specific anti-codon) for a particular amino acid; and 'wobble' base-pairing, i.e. permitting non-standard base-pairing at the 3rd anti-codon position.
Source: Rfam by way of RNAcentral
GAGGGUGUGGCUCAGUGGCAGAGAGCAUGCUCAGCAUGCACGAGGUCCUAGGUUCAAUCCCCAGCACCCCCA